Molecule: ribosomal RNA, 156 nt
Filed under: Hypomontagnella submonticulosa
Lineage: Eukaryota; Fungi; Ascomycota; Sordariomycetes; Xylariales; Hypoxylaceae
Description: 5.8S ribosomal RNA
Rfam family: 5.8S ribosomal RNA
About the family: 5.8S ribosomal RNA (5.8S rRNA) is a component of the large subunit of the eukaryotic ribosome. It is transcribed by RNA polymerase I as part of the 45S precursor that also contains 18S and 28S rRNA.
Source: RNAcentral
AACUUUCAACAACGGAUCUCUUGGUUCUGGCAUCGAUGAAAAAACGCAGCGAAAUGCGAUAAGUAAUGUGAAUUGCAAAAUUCAGUGAAUCAUCGAAUCUUUGAACGCACAUUGCGCCCAUUAGUAUUCUAGUGGGCAUGCCUAUUCGAGCGUCAU